GCACGCCGCGUGAGGGAUGACGGCCUUCGGGUUGUAAACCUCUUUUAGCAGGGAAGAAGCGAGAGUGACGGUACCUGCAGAAAAAGCACCGGCUAACUACAUGCCAGCAGCCGCGGUAAUACGUAGGGUGCAAGCGUUAUCCGGAAUUAUUGGGCGUAAAGAGCUCGUAGGCGGUUUGUCGCGUCUGCCGUGAAAUCCUCAGGCUCAACCUGAGGCUUGCGGUGGGUACGGGCAGACUUGAGUGCGGAAUGGGAGAUUGGAAUUCCUGGUGUAGCGGUGGAAUGCCCAGAUAUCAGGAGGAACACCGAUGGCUAAGGCAGAUCUCUGGGCCGUAACUGACGCUCAUGAGCGAAAGGGUGGGGAGCAAACA
Molecule: ribosomal RNA, 370 nt
Filed under: Microbacterium sp. 3CBK
Lineage: Bacteria; Bacillati; Actinomycetota; Actinomycetes; Micrococcales; Microbacteriaceae
Description: bacterial SSU rRNA
Rfam family: Bacterial small subunit ribosomal RNA
Source: RNAcentral